CCUACGGGAGGCAGCAGUGGGGAAUCUUGCGCAAUGGGCGAAAGCCUGACGCAGCCAUGCCGCGUGAAUGAUGAAGGUCUUAGGAUUGUAAAAUUCUUUCAGUAGGGACGAUAAUGACGGUACCUACAGAAGAAGCCCCGGCUAACUUCGUGCCAGCAGCCGCGGUAAUACGAAGGGGGCUAGCGUUGCUCGGAAUUACUGGGCGUAAAGGGAGCGUAGGCGGGUUAUCAAGUUGGAGGUGAAAGCCCAGGGCUCAACCUUGGAAUUGCCUUCAAAACUGAUAGCCUAGAGUAUGAUAGAGGUAAGUGGAACUCCGAGUGUAGAGGUGAAAUUCGUAGAUAUUCGGAAGAACACCAGUGGCGAAGGCGACUUACUGGAUCAUGACUGACGCUGAGGCUCGAAAGCGUGGGGAGCAAACAGGAUUAGAUACCCUGGUAGUCCACGCUGUAAACGAUGAUUGCUAGUUGUCGGACGGCAUGCCGUUCGGUGACGCAGCUAACGCAUUAAGCAAUCCGCCUGGGGGAGGUACGGUCGCGAGAUAAACUACAAAGAAGUAGACGCGUGAGAGUGCGACGGACGACGACGAGGGAGAGG
This 594-nucleotide ribosomal RNA is filed under the name uncultured bacterium. Its description in RNAcentral is "bacterial SSU rRNA". It matches the Rfam family "Bacterial small subunit ribosomal RNA", at positions 338 to 950 of the family's 1533-position model. The record is from RNAcentral.